UCCUAUUCUGGCCACACAAGACAUGCC
This 27-nucleotide non-coding RNA is filed under the name Homo sapiens (human). Lineage: Eukaryota; Metazoa; Chordata; Mammalia; Primates; Hominidae. The record is from RNAcentral.